This is a long non-coding RNA of Engraulis encrasicolus (European anchovy), 1243 nucleotides long. RefSeq lists it as uncharacterized. The record is from RefSeq and is a predicted model, not a curated record. The transcript is spliced from 3 exons. NCBI's taxonomy places the organism in Eukaryota, Metazoa, Chordata, Actinopteri, Clupeiformes, Engraulidae.
CUGGGUUGUUUUGUCAACCCAAGUGCUGAAUAACAGCUGUUGGGUAAACGUGUUGGGUUAUUCUAAUGCAGUGUUGGGUUACUCUAACUCAAUAUUGGUACAGUGGGGAACAUCUAUGCUACUCUACUGAUUGGGUUAUUAGUUAGGUUACACAAUAACCCAACUCACUGGUUUAUUGUACCCAACAUUGUGUUGCCCUGCUACGUUUGAAAUCAGAGUUCCCUGCAGAUAACGUUCUUUCUGCCUGCCCGCCCUGGAAGAAGUGAACUGACCGGAGUCUUCAACAAAAAUGAAGGUUUGUAAUGUGUUUUUACUGUUUUGUCUCCAGAUAACUUUAGUUAACUGCCUAAAGCUGAUAGAUGUGUAGUAGCCAUUCGUUCAUCCAACGCAUUCCUUAUCUUCCAUACGAUCGAUCUAUGAAGUAUGAACCCAUAGAAUAAGAAGACCGUUGCCCAAGGUAGUCACUACACAAACCUAAACCGUUGGUUACUCUCAAUGACAUAAACCAAUGGAAAUGGAGUCAACUAAUCUAAUCAUAAGAAACAUUGGAAUGAAUCUCGUCUCGAAACCAGAUGGGAUGAAUUUUAAUUUCACGAAACUCGCCUGCUGUAACUUCAAUCUGUGUCCAACCGUCUUUUGGUUUCCACGGUAACUCUCGACACAAAUAACUGGCCGCAGUGCCGCCGCGCUGAAGCUGGUCUCUCGGCGGGCAUUAUCAACUCUCUGCCGCGAGUUCGCGUGGAAUAAGUAGCACAAAUCAGCGCAAGUUAGAGAAAUUAAUAAUAACAACAACGGAAAAUACGGACGUGCCGUGUAUCCCUAUUCAGUUGGACUAUUGCCGCUGGCAUCUGCAGCUCUGCUCAAGGUAGGCUAGUUCAUGUCUGAUUGCAGCUAGUCUGUGUGGUUUUAGAACUAGCUUUUCAGAUAAGCCUGGACGUCCGCGAAGUGGGCUUCGAUAUACAGACAUGUCAGGACGGUUAACACUGUAUGUCAGCGAGCAUGGUAUAGCUACUACCUCUGGUUUAACAACAAUGUGGCUUUCUAUUUGCUAUAUGAUUGCAGCUAUGAAAAAAAGGAAGGAGACCUCCAGGACUGAACAGAGCUGUCACCUGUUGCAGUGCAGCGCACCGACUGACUGACGCUAUUUGCUUGGAUGUUGCUGAAAGAAAGGAGGCAUUCUUCAUUGUGCAGCACUAGCCUACUGUGGAGGCCGAGAGAGUUUUGACGAGGCUUCUGUACCCAG